CUGGGCUUGACAUGUGCCUGAUCCCCCUGGAAACAGGGGUUCCCUUCGGGGCAGGUUCACAGGUGGUGCAUGGCUGUCGUCAGCUCGUGUCGUGAGAUGUUGGGUUAAGUCCCGCAACGAGCGCAACCCCCGUCGCAUGUUGCCAGCAUUUAGUUGGGGACUCAUGCGAGACUGCCGGUGACAAACCGGAGGAAGGUGGGGAUGACGUCAAGUCAUCAUGCCCCUUAUGUCCAGGGCUACACACGUGCUACAUUGGCGCGUACAGAGGGCUGCGAUACCGCGAGGUGGAGCGAAUCCCUUAAAGCGCGUCUCGGUUCGGAUUGCAGGCUGAAACCCGCCUGCAUGAAGGCGGAGUUGCUAGUAAUCGCGGAUCAGCAUUGCCGCGGUGAAUACGUUCCC
RNAcentral lists this ribosomal RNA (399 nucleotides) under uncultured bacterium. Its description in RNAcentral is "bacterial SSU rRNA". It matches the Rfam family "Bacterial small subunit ribosomal RNA", at positions 975 to 1375 of the family's 1533-position model. The record is from RNAcentral.